RNAcentral lists this ribosomal RNA (439 nucleotides) under uncultured bacterium. RNAcentral describes it as "partial 16S ribosomal RNA". It matches the Rfam family "Bacterial small subunit ribosomal RNA", at positions 339 to 795 of the family's 1533-position model. The record is from RNAcentral.
CUACGGGACGCACCAGUGGGGAAUAUUGCACAAUGGGGGAAACCCUGAUGCAGCAACGCCGCGUGAAGGAAGAAGGUUUUCGGAUCGUAAACUUCUAUCAGCAAGGAAGAUAAUGACGGUACUUGACUAAGAAGCCCCGGCUAACUACGUGCCAGCAGCCGCGGUAAUACGUAGGGGGCAAGCGUUAUCCGGAAUUACUGGGUGUAAAGGGAGCGUAGACGGUAAUAUAAGUCAGAUGUGAAAGCCCGAGGCUCAACCUCGGGACUUCAUUUGAAACUGUAUAACUAGAGUACAGGAGAGGAGAGUGUCGUUCCUCGUUUAGCGGUGAAAUGCGUAGAUAUUAGGAGGAACACCAGUGGCGAAGGCGACUUUCUGGACUGUAACUGACGUUGAGGCUCGAAAGCGUGGGGAGCGAACAGGAUUAGAUACCCGAGUAGUC